Molecule: ribosomal RNA, 510 nt
Filed under: uncultured bacterium
Lineage: Bacteria
Description: partial 16S ribosomal RNA
Rfam family: Bacterial small subunit ribosomal RNA
Source: RNAcentral
GACGAACGCUGGCGGCGUGCUUAACACAUGCAAGUCGAACGAAGAGCGAUGGGAGCUUGCUUCUAUCAAUCUUAGUGGCGAACGGGUGAGUAACGCGUAAUCAACCUGCCCUUCAGAGGGGGACAACAGUUGGAAACGACAGCUAAUACCGCAUACGAUCUAAUCUCGGCAUCGAGGAUAGAUGAAAGGUGGCCUCUUCAUGUAAGCUAUCACUGAAGGAGGGGAUUGCGUCUGAUUAGCUAGUUGGAGGGGUAACGGCCCACCAAGGCGAUGAUCAGUAGCCGGUCUGGAAGGAUGAACGGCCACAUUGGGACUGGGACACGGCCCAGACUCCUACGGGAGGCAGCAGUGGGGGAUCUUCCGCAAUGGACGAAAGGCUGACGGAGCAACGCCGCGUGAGCGAUGACGGCCUUCGGGUUGUAAAGCUCUGUUAAUCGGGACGAAAGGCCUUCUUGCGAAUAGUGAGAAGGAUUGACGGUACCGGAAUAGAAAGCCACGGCUAACUACGUG